Molecule: ribosomal RNA, 253 nt
Filed under: uncultured bacterium
Lineage: Bacteria
Description: partial 16S ribosomal RNA
Rfam family: Bacterial small subunit ribosomal RNA
Source: RNAcentral
UACGUAGGGCGCAAGCGUUAUCCGGAAUUAUUGGGCGUAAAGAGCUCGUAGGCGGUUUGUCGCGUCUGCCGUGAAAGUCCGGGGCUCAACUCCGGAUCUGCGGUGGGUACGGGCAGACUAGAGUGAUGUAGGGGAGACUGGAAUUCCUGGUGUAGCGGUGAAAUGCGCAGAUAUCAGGAGGAACACCGGUGGCGAAGGCGGGUCUCUGGGCCGAAAUCGACGCUGAGGAGCGAAAGCGUGGGGAGCAAACAGG